This is a non-coding RNA of Triticum aestivum (bread wheat), 125 nucleotides long. The record is from Rfam. Lineage: Eukaryota; Viridiplantae; Streptophyta; Magnoliopsida; Poales; Poaceae.
CAUAUACUCCCUCCGUCCGAAAAUAUUUGUCGCAAAAAUGGAUAAAAAUGAAUGCAUCUAAAAUGAAAAUACAUCAAGAUACAUCUAUUUUUCGGACAAGUAUUUCCGGACGGAAGGAGUAUUUU